Hordeum vulgare subsp. vulgare (domesticated barley) is the source of this 661-nucleotide long non-coding RNA. RefSeq lists it as uncharacterized. The record is from RefSeq and is a predicted model, not a curated record. The transcript is spliced from 2 exons. NCBI's taxonomy places the organism in Eukaryota, Viridiplantae, Streptophyta, Magnoliopsida, Poales, Poaceae.
UCCCAAUAAGUCCCUUGUGUUUGGUUUAGGUGGGACUUAUAGGGAUUUUUUUAAGUCCCUGGAAACAAACACCCUCCUACACGAUCCUCCAAAUAUCUUCGGCAGACAUUCGAGUGGUGGUACUCAUCCAGCAACCACCUGAUCUGGACACGACAUGCUCUCUCGCUCUCUUGCAAGAGGAGGUCAUCAACUCGGCGCAAUCCUUGCACCAGCAACGAGUCAUGCCGCGCGGAAAUGACGCGCUCCUGUGAGCGGGCACUCCAUUGCCCUUGCCACCUCCUCCAUGUCCAAUUCCUGCCACUUCGUCAACACCGGCACUUGAUCGUCAUGGGGUGGAAAAGCGCACGUGCGGAUAAUUCCAAGGCCAAAGCACUGCGCGAUUACAGACGCACUCGGUGCUGUGUUUCAAGUGUGGAAAGCGUUGAGGCCAUGAGCACGUGUGCCCAACAUCUGUGCGGCUUCACAUUGUCGAAGAAUUACUGGAGUUGUACGGUCUUGAUGACAGUGUUGAUGCCGUUUAGUUGGCGCCAGCUUCGCAACCUCAGCAGGCUGAAGACACAGUCAUGGCCAUCUCUUGCCCGACGCUAUCAGGGGGCGUCUCAGCCAUGGCAUUCCAACUACAAGCCUGGAUCCAAGGCAAGGAAGUAUUGAUGCUGGUCGA